UACGUAGGGGGCAAGCGUUGUCCGGAAUCAUUGGGCGUAAAGCGCGUGUAGGCGGCCCGAUAAGUCCGCUGUGAAAGUCCAGGGCUCAACCCUGGGAUGCCGGUGGAUACUGUCGGGCUCGAGUCCGGAAGAGGAGUGUGGAAUUCCUGGUGUAGCGGUGAAAUGCGCAGAUAUCAGGAGGAACACCAAUGGCGAAGGCAGCUCGCUGGGACGGUACUGACGCUGAGACGCGAAAGCGUGGGGAGCAAACAGG
RNAcentral lists this ribosomal RNA (253 nucleotides) under uncultured bacterium. RNAcentral describes it as "partial 16S ribosomal RNA". It matches the Rfam family "Bacterial small subunit ribosomal RNA", at positions 524 to 776 of the family's 1533-position model. The record is from RNAcentral.